GAUGAAGAACGUAGCGAAAUGCGAUAAGUAAUGUGAAUUGCAGAAUUCAGUGAAUCUUCGAGUCUUUGAACGCACAUUGCGCCCCCUGGUAUUCCGGGGGGCAUGCCUGUCCGAGCGUCAUUGCUGCCCUCAAGCACGGCUUGUGUGUUGGGCCCCGUCCCCUCCCCCGGGGACGGGCCCGAAAGGCAGCGGCGGCACCGCGUCCGAUCCUCGAGCGUAUGGGGCUUUGUCACCCGCUCUGUAGGCCCGGCCGGCGCCAGCCGACACCCAACUUUUAUUUCUAAGGUUGACCUCGGAUCAGGUAGGGAUACCCGCUGAACUUAAGCAUAUCAAUAAGCGGAGGA
RNAcentral lists this unclassified non-coding RNA (344 nucleotides) under soil metagenome. RNAcentral's name for it is "partial contains 5.8S ribosomal RNA, internal transcribed spacer 2, and large subunit ribosomal RNA". The stretch from base 1 to 120 matches the Rfam family "5.8S ribosomal RNA", at positions 35 to 154 of the family's 154-position model. The record is from RNAcentral.